RNAcentral lists this long non-coding RNA (734 nucleotides) under Capsicum annuum. RNAcentral's name for it is "long non-coding RNA (CANN_LNC020542)". The record is from RNAcentral. Lineage: Eukaryota; Viridiplantae; Streptophyta; Magnoliopsida; Solanales; Solanaceae.
AACCCAUUUCUCUCCCACUCCUUCUCUUUUCGCCCUCUUCUCUGUCGGUACCCCACAUUUUCCGGCGAAACACAAACCUAUUUCACCGUCGGAAUCGACAAUCUGGCGAUGACUAAGAAAUAGUGGUAAACCGGAUCCAGUUUUUCAACGACCUUUUAAUGAAGAUUCGACGACAUUACUCCGACACCAAGUUUUGCCGGCGGAUCGCGGUGUAUAGGUGGCCAGAUCAUUUUUCGGCAUGGCAUUCAAGUCAGGGACAAUAUCAACAAUGGGUAAAGGCGGAGUUAGCAAUAUUCCGGCGACCAAUUUCUCCACCAACUUGUCAGAAUCCAAUGAAAUGAUCAAGAAAACAUCCUCACUGCAUCAUCUCAUAAGAUUAGGUGCACUCAUUUUAUCUCUUCUAGUUUAUCUGAUCUAGGUUCCUGAUUAUUUGGAGGCAGAUACUCCCUGUUUAUUUGAUAUCUAUCUUCAGUCCUUUCUUUCUUGAUUUCUUGUUUGUUUAUCUUAACUGUUCGUGUGGGAUUAUUGGUUCUAGUUUCUCUUUUACUGAGUAAGAGUUAUUUAAAGACUACUAUAUCUAUUUAUUGUAGUACGUGUUGGUAUCUUUUGCUUGUGUUGGUAUUACUUUCUAAAGCUGAUAAGAGUUAUUGUGACUAGUAUAGCUCUUGUUAUUGAUUGUUGGUUGUCAAAUUUGCAUUAUAGUUUAUUGAUUUUGUGUCCCUGGGUAUAUGCGG